GCUAGCGUUGUUCGGAAUUACUGGGCGUAAAGCGUGCGUAGGCGGCUUUUCAAGUUGGGUGUGAAAGCCCGGGGCUUAACCCCGGAAAUGCGCCCAAGACUGUUUGGCUAGAGACCGGGAGAGGUGAGUGGAAUUCCCAGUGUAGCGGUGAAAUGCGUAGAUAUUGGGAGGAACACCAGUGGCGAAGGCGGCUCACUGGACCGGAACUGACGCUGAGGCGCGAAAGCUAGGGGAGCAAACGGG
RNAcentral lists this ribosomal RNA (243 nucleotides) under uncultured bacterium. Its description in RNAcentral is "partial 16S ribosomal RNA". It matches the Rfam family "Bacterial small subunit ribosomal RNA", at positions 534 to 776 of the family's 1533-position model. The record is from RNAcentral.